Molecule: long non-coding RNA, 2968 nt
Filed under: Ananas comosus (pineapple)
Lineage: Eukaryota; Viridiplantae; Streptophyta; Magnoliopsida; Poales; Bromeliaceae
Description: long non-coding RNA (ACOM_LNC009582)
Source: RNAcentral
GAGGCGGGGGCGGGAGCAGCAGAAGCGGACGGCGGCGUUGAAGAGGGGGAGGUCGACGGGGCAGGCGCCGGAGAGGACGUCGGAGACGAGGGUUUCGGCGGCGGCGAGGCGGCCGGAGGAGGCGGCGACGGAGAGGGCGGCGAGGUAGGCCUCCGGCGGGUGGCGGUAGCCGGGGCGGAGCGAGGCCCAGCGGAAGAGGUCGAGUGCGAGGUCGGGGUCGGCGGCGGCGCGCACCGCCGCCGCGACGUCGGCGCCGGUGAACCCCGGGCGGAGGCGUUCCACCCAGUUCGCGAACUGCUGCUCCAGCGGGGUGAGCCCGCGAGGACCAGCGCUAGGGUUUGGGUCAGGGUUCGGAGCUGGGGACGAGGAGGAGGAGGAGGAGGAGGAGGAGAGGGGGCGAUUAGGGUUAGGGUUGAGGAGGAGGGAACGGGGAGAGGGGAGAGAGAGGAGGCGCUUGGGUGCGAGUCUCAUUUCCUACUAAAACUGGAAAACGAGGAGGGGAAAGAGAAAUGGCGAUCGAGCUCACCAUCAUCAAUUCAUCAUCAUCAUAUUCAUGCGAAACAAAGAAGAGAAUGGUUAAUUUGCACCGCGAGUAACUUUUCAACUGAAUUUUUCAUUUCGGUCCUUAAAAUUUUACAUUUCACAAUCAAAAUCUCUCUCUCUCUCUCUCUCUAUUUUACCGCAAUUUUGCCGCAGGAAGAAGCUGCUGCAUAAAACUUCGACGAAGUGAAGUGCUGCUUUUAAUUUCACGCAUUAUUUCGUACAAAAUUACUUUCAGAAAUAAUGUUACAAAGAAGCUCAAUGAUCUGCAUCAUAUAAAUAAAUUUCUGCGUGUUAAAAAUAACUUCAGAUAUAUCAGUUAAAACAUCAAUAUGACUUUUAAAUUUGGCCCUAAAGAUAACAUCUGGCCAUGUUUAUUCAUACAAAUCCCAAAAAGAAACAGUCCAAGAACUCAUGAUCCAGUUAAAUGAAGCUCCAGUUCCAGUGUAAGUCACGAUCUAUUAGUCCCUUCAAAAAUUUAUUUAUCUUUUGCCUUCAAGAUUACUGUCAAACUUUAAACCCCUCGGCGCGGAGGCACUGUUUAUGGGCUUCAAUCCACUUCCCGCAGGCAGCCUCGCCGUGCUCCACGAUGCAUUCGUCUCUCAGCUUCUUCGUAUCUGGGCAGGCGCAGCAUAUCUUCUUUUUAGGCUUUGAUUCCGGGGGCGGAUUAGGUGAGGUCAGAGCCUCGCUUGCAGCUGGGGGUUGGGGCAAUUUCAAUGGCAACGGCAUCCCGACCUCUACGUUGCUCGUCUUUGCCAUUUGUUCCGAAGUAAGGAAGUGAACUGCAAAACAUUCAAGACAGAGUUAAACCAUAAUGCACCUUGCCUGAUUUUCCGAACUCGUAAUUUUCGGGUUAUCACCGUAGGAGAGAGGUCAUCGUAGUUGCCGUAGGAUGCAGAUUUAAGUGAGAAAAUUUUCAUGACGGAAUAUGUUCCACAAAUGGCAUCCCAAAUCCAAAAAAGGAAACUUCACAAUUUAAUAACUAAAUAGUCCACCUAAAGUACAAGAAUGACAACGCGAUUAUGACCAAAUCAUCCACAUACAAUUACUCAGUCGAAUAACAUCUCCGACGAAGAAUACACCUAAUAAUAGGUUUCUGUAAAAUAGAAAGGGAAAACUGAAUCAUUUCCUGGAAUAACAGAUCAUAAUUUAGGGUAUAGAAAGGUAGCGCGCAAAUGUGAGGAUUUGUAAAUUUACUAAACAGACCGAAGCAUUUCCUUUUAAAACAAGCCAUGGACGAGGGAACACGAAUCCAAUAACAGAAGAACACAUGGUCUUGGUUAGUUUUGGAAAAGUAACAAAUUAUGAUUAUAAUAGAGACAAAUACAAAUCACCAUAGCCCGCUAGUUCAACUAUAACAGAGUCUAACAGGAAAGCACGACUAAUUACAUAUUCCAAUUAUUUUUAUAAAAAAUUUUCGAAAAAAAAAACACAAAGUCUAGCUUAUCCACAGGUACGCAGGGAAAGUUUUUUAGCCGUUGUCUAUAGUACCAUACAACUUCCAUGAACGGUUAUACAUAUAGAUAUAGAAUGAAAUUUUUAUAAGUAUUUCUUGUUUGUUCCCUGUAAACCAGGCAGGCGGCAAGCAAAAUGCUUGACAAAGAAAAAAGUGGCAAGAAAAGAAUGAGAGUGCAUAAGCAUAAUUAGGACAAGAUAAUGACAAAAGGAUGACAAGCACUUGCCUUUGAACAUCAACACGGAUAUGAAAGUUUCAAGAACGGGAAGGCAUUUUUGAAGGUCCAAAAACAGUAAGACCUUUCACAUUGACACAGCAGCAGGAGAUGCGCGUGACUAUGCAAUUAAGAUAUGAUAAAGCUGAUCCGACACAAGCUAAGUAACAGCGAAACAUGAUAAUUUUCAUGAAACAAANGGCGACGGAGAGGGCGGCGAGGUAGGCCUCCGGCGGGUGGCGGUAGCCGGGGCGGAGCGAGGCCCAGCGGAAGAGGUCGAGUGCGAGGUCGGGGUCGGCGGCGGCGCGCACCGCCGCCGCGACGUCGGCGCCGGUGAACCCCGGGCGGAGGCGUUCCACCCAGUUCGCGAACUGCUGCUCCAGCGGGGUGAGCCCGCGAGGACCAGCGCUAGGGUUUGGGUCAGGGUUCGGAGCUGGGGACGAGGAGGAGGAGGAGGAGAGGGGGCGAUUAGGGUUGGGGUUGAGGAGGAGGGAACGGGGAGAGGGGAGAGAGAGGAGGCGCUUGGGUGCGAGUCUCAUUUCCUACUAAAACUGGAAAACGAGGAGGGGAAAGAGAAAUGGCGAUCGAGCUCACCAUCUCAUGCGAAACAAAGAAGAGAAUGGUUAAUUUGCACCGCGAGUAACUUUUCAACUGAAUUUUUCAUUUUGGUCCUUUAAAUUUUACAUUUCACAAUCAAAAUCUCUCUCUCUCUCUCUCUCUCUCUCUCUUUUUUACCACAAUUUUGCCGCAGGAAGAAG